CCACAAUCAAUCGUCGGAGUAUUCAGCAACAAAAGCCGCCACCCAAUCUGCUGCAGUGUUCGCUUUUCGGUAGACAUAUCCGACUCGCACUGCAGCAAUUUGGUGAAGAGAGGUCCAAAUAUACCGGAUAAGUGGAUGACUCUCAUGCUGCCUGAUUGUUCCUUGAAUUCAAGAAAUAACAGUAGCAGAAUCAUCGUCCAGAAAAAUCUUUUCUCUGUGAAACUGCUUUCUGACAAAGGUGACACCUACCCAAGCGGCGUGAAGCUCUGCCGUC
RNAcentral lists this long non-coding RNA (274 nucleotides) under Elaeis guineensis (African oil palm). Its description in RNAcentral is "long non-coding RNA (EGUI_LNC018740)". Lineage: Eukaryota; Viridiplantae; Streptophyta; Magnoliopsida; Arecales; Arecaceae. The record is from RNAcentral.